RNAcentral lists this ribosomal RNA (505 nucleotides) under uncultured bacterium. Its description in RNAcentral is "bacterial SSU rRNA". It matches the Rfam family "Bacterial small subunit ribosomal RNA", at positions 8 to 510 of the family's 1533-position model. The record is from RNAcentral.
AGAGUUUGAUCAUGGCUCAGAUUGAACGCUGGCGGCAUGCUUUACACAUGCAAGUCGAACGGUAACAGGCCGCAAGGUGCUGACGAGUGGCGAACGGGUGAGUAAUGUAUCGGAACGUGCCCAGUCGUGGGGGAUAACGCAGCGAAAGCUGCGCUAAUACCGCAUACGAUCUAUGGAUGAAAGCGGGGGACCGUAAGGCCUCGCGCGAUUGGAGCGGCCGAUAUCAGAUUAGGUAGUUGGUGGGGUAAAGGCUCACCAAGCCAACGAUCUGUAGCUGGUCUGAGAGGACGACCAGCCACACUGGGACUGAGACACGGCCCAGACUCCUACGGGAGGCAGCAGUGGGGAAUUUUGGACAAUGGGCGCAAGCCUGAUCCAGCAAUGCCGCGUGCAGGAAGAAGGCCUUCGGGUUGUAAACUGCUUUUGUACGGAACGAAACGGUCCUGGUUAAUACCUGGGGCUAAUGACGGUACCGUAAGAAUAAGCACCGGCUAACUACGUGCCA